This 93-nucleotide small nucleolar RNA is filed under the name Theobroma cacao (cacao). Its description in RNAcentral is "Small nucleolar RNA snoR8a". It matches the Rfam family "Small nucleolar RNA snoR8a". The record is from Rfam by way of RNAcentral. Lineage: Eukaryota; Viridiplantae; Streptophyta; Magnoliopsida; Malvales; Malvaceae.
AAGUUAGUAAUGAUUAUAAAAAUAAUUCCUUGUUCUGACUUAUUUCAUUUAGACAUGAUAAACCUCUUAUUACAACCAUCGAAUCUAAACUCC